RNAcentral lists this transfer RNA (85 nucleotides) under Sphingomonas glacialis. RNAcentral describes it as "tRNA-Leu". It matches the Rfam family "tRNA". From Rfam's summary of the family: Transfer RNA (tRNA) molecules are approximately 80 nucleotides in length. Lineage: Bacteria; Pseudomonadati; Pseudomonadota; Alphaproteobacteria; Sphingomonadales; Sphingomonadaceae. RNAcentral also lists the same sequence under 4 other names. The record is from RNAcentral.
GCGGGCGUGGCGGAACUGGUAGACGCAGCAGGUUUAGGUCCUGCCAUCGAAAGAUGUGGGGGUUCGAGUCCCUUCGCCCGCACCA